RNAcentral lists this long non-coding RNA (249 nucleotides) under Panax ginseng (ginseng). RNAcentral's name for it is "long non-coding RNA (PGIN_LNC002559)". The record is from RNAcentral. Lineage: Eukaryota; Viridiplantae; Streptophyta; Magnoliopsida; Apiales; Araliaceae.
UUACACAUGUGUGUUGAAUGAGCUGAAUUCAGUUCUUGGAAGGUUGGCGUAAGAAAAUUUAAUUUAUAUAUUAAUAUUAUAUUAAAUUUUCUGUUUUGGUGUUCUAAGCAUUUUCCUAUAAAUAGGGUGCUUAGGUUAGAAUUGAAAAUUACACCAGAAACUGAAGUUUUCUCUCUCUAUAUUUUCGAGCGUAUUCUUGUGAGUAUUUUGAGUAUAUUUUGAUUAUUGCUAUACGGUGCAAGUUCAAGU